GAUGAACGCUGGCGGCGUGCCUAAUACAUGCAAGUCGAACGCAUAGCGAAAGGUGCUUGCACCUUUCAAGUGAGUGGCGAACGGGUGAGUAACACGUGGACAACCUGCCUCAAGGCUGGGGAUAACAUUUGGAAACAGAUGCUAAUACCGAAUAAAACUUAGUGUCGCAUGACACAAAGUUAAAAGGCGCUUCGGCGUCACCUAGAGAUGGAUCCGCGGUGCAUUAGUUAGUUGGUGGGGUAAAGGCCUACCAAGACAAUGAUGCAUAGCCGAGUUGAGAGACUGAUCGGCCACAUUGGGACUGAGACACGGCCCAAACUCCUACGGGAGGCUGCAGUAGGGAAUCUUCCACAAUGGGCGAAAGCCUGAUGGAGCAACGCCGCGUGUGUGAUGAAGGCUUUCGGGUCGUAAAGCACUGUUGUAUAGGAAGAACAGCUAGAAUAGGAAAUGAUUUUAGUUUGACGGUACCAUACCAGAAAGGGACGGCUAAAUACGUG
RNAcentral lists this ribosomal RNA (497 nucleotides) under uncultured bacterium. Its description in RNAcentral is "partial 16S ribosomal RNA". It matches the Rfam family "Bacterial small subunit ribosomal RNA", at positions 28 to 507 of the family's 1533-position model. The record is from RNAcentral.